This 513-nucleotide ribosomal RNA is filed under the name uncultured bacterium. Its description in RNAcentral is "partial 16S ribosomal RNA". It matches the Rfam family "Bacterial small subunit ribosomal RNA", at positions 28 to 523 of the family's 1533-position model. The record is from RNAcentral.
GAUGAACGCUGGCGGCGUGCCUAAUACAUGCAAGUCGAGCGAACAGAUGAAGUGCUUGCACUUCUGACGUUAGCGGCGAACGGGUGAGUAACACGUAAGGAAUCUACCUAUAAGCGGGGGAUAACAUUCGGAAACGGGUGCUAAUACCGCAUAAUAUCUUCUUCCGCAUGGAAGAAGAUUGAAAGACGGCUCUGCUGUCACUUAUAGAUGACCUUGCGGUGCAUUAGUUAGUUGGUGGGGUAACGGCCUACCAAGACGAUGAUGCAUAGCCGACCUGGGAGGGUGAUCGGCCACAUUGGGACUGAGACACGGCCCAAACUCCUACGGGAGGCAGCAGUAGGGAAUCUUCCGCAAUGGGCGAAAGCCUGACGGAGCAAUGCCGCGUGAGUGAAGAAGGCCUUCGGGUCGUAAAACUCUGUUAUAAGAGAAGAACAAAUUGUAGAGUAACUGCUACAGUCUUGACGGUAUCUUAUCAGAAAGCCACGGUUAACUACGUGCCAGCCGCCGCGGUAA